This 507-nucleotide long non-coding RNA is filed under the name Phoenix dactylifera (date palm). Its description in RNAcentral is "long non-coding RNA (PDAC_LNC022080)". Lineage: Eukaryota; Viridiplantae; Streptophyta; Magnoliopsida; Arecales; Arecaceae. The record is from RNAcentral.
AGAAAAAGAAAAAUAAAGCAACAUGAUCAUGAAUUUCAUGCUCACCUUCCUGUAAUAGAACUUCAUACUAAAGUUUUCCAAGAACUCCCUCCAUGUGCUAUCAUUAGCUCAGUAAAAGUUUAAAGAUAAAAAUUUAAGCAUAUAAGUUUUGUGCAACAUGAGAAGGCAAAUUAAAUUUUGGUCCACCUACACCAAUGCUAUACCUCGCACCUUCAUACUUUACAUCAGCCAUUAUUUUAGUGCUCACUAAGUAUUCAUUCGGAAACUUGAGGCAGUCCUUCAUGCGGAAGGAAAUUCUAGAGAUUUAUUUUCUAGAUCUUCAACCUAGAUAGUUCUAAUUAGGGGUGUUUUCAUUUUUUUUGUUCUUGAUAAAUAUCAUGGUAUGCUGUUAAUAACUAAUCAUUAGAUUCCAAAAAAUUAAGUUGUCAUCAGACCUUAAUGGCUAUCACAAGUAUUUUGAAACAUGAAACUUUAACAUAGGAAUAGAUGCCAACCAUCUAAGCUGAG